RNAcentral lists this ribosomal RNA (206 nucleotides) under uncultured bacterium. Its description in RNAcentral is "partial 16S ribosomal RNA". It matches the Rfam family "Bacterial small subunit ribosomal RNA", at positions 568 to 774 of the family's 1533-position model. The record is from RNAcentral.
CGUGUAGGCGGUUUGUACAGUCAGAUGUGAAAUCCCCGGGCUUAACCUGGGAGCUGCAUUUGAGACGUGCAGACUAGAGUGUGAGAGAGGGUUGUGGAAUUCCCAGUGUAGAGGUGAAAUUCGUAGAUAUCGGGAGGAACACCAGUGGCGAAGGCGGCCUACUGGGCACCAACUGACGCUGAGGCUCGAAAGUGUGGUAGCAAACA